RNAcentral lists this non-coding RNA (774 nucleotides) under Hishimonoides recurvatis. The record is from RNAcentral. Lineage: Eukaryota; Metazoa; Arthropoda; Insecta; Hemiptera; Cicadellidae.
AUAGGGUUUGAUUUAUGCCUCAAAAAUAGUGUAUCCAUUUAAUUAUAUGAAUAUUAUAAAAUAAAAAAAUUUUCAGUAAAAAAUAUUAAUUUAAUAUUUAAAAAUUUUAUUUAGAAUUUGGGUUAAAACAAUAGAUUAAUAUUGUGCCAGCAGUCGCGGUUAUACAAUUAAUUGUAGUUAUUUAUUUAGGAUUUUAGUUUUUAUAUUUUAUUAAGGAAAAAUAAUUUUAUUUAUUUAGGUGGAAUUUAUAAUUUAUUAAGAAUUUCUUUUUUUAUAACUAAGAAACUUAACAUUUAAACUAGGAUUAGAUACCCUAUUAUUUUAAGCUUAAAUUUUUAUUUCCUGAAUAGUAUUAGUUAUGUUCUUUAAAGCUCAAAGAAUUUGGCGGUUAGAUUUCUAUUUAGAGGAACCUGUAAAUUAAUUGAUACACCACGAUAUUAUUUACUUAAUACAUAUUUGUAUACCGCUAUGUUUAUGAAUGUUUUGAAAGAAUAUUUUCUUUUGUUAAUUUAAGUUUAUUUUAGGUCAAGGUGCAGUUUUUAUUAAGUUUUUAUGGGUUACUUCAAUUAAAAAUAUUUUGGCAUAUUUAAUAAAAAAUUUAAUAUAAAAUAGGAUUUAAUAGUAAAUAAAAUUUAUUAAUUUUUUUGAAUAAAAGAUCUAUCUAAUGUACAUAUCGCCCGUCACUCCUAAUUUAAAUUAGGAUAAGUCGUAACAAAGUAAUUUUACCGGAAGGUGAAGUUAGUUAGUAAAUAAGUAGUAAAUUGUUAUUUAAUU